GAUUGUACCAUGUACUUGGGGUGGUUUUCAAAAAAAAAAAAAUCCCAUUCUCAUUCUCCUUCAUACAUGUGUCCAUUCCCCAAGAUACAACCCUUAUUCCUCUAGAGUUUCACGGGAGAAGGAUUAGGUAGUUGAGAUGCGGACGAUCACCAGUGUGGGAGGUGUCAGACUGAAUGGAGAGCGACGGUGAAGGUGGUUACGAGGUUUGGUGGCGGCGGUGUUGCGGGGUUGCAGAACCGGAAGUUGUGAUGGUGGUUUUUGUUGGACAACAGCCGCAACCCAAGUGGUGGUGUCGACGGCGGUGAUUUUUGUUAAAGAUUGAUGGUGGUUAGAAACCCUAGCUACUCCAUCCGGUGAUGGAGGCUAUGGUUCCGGUGAGAUUCUGACCAACUAACUCUGUUGUACAGUAUUGUCCGAUCAGCAAAGGAACAAGAUUUGGGUGUUAGAACAGGGUCGUCUUCAUCAUUGAAUUGAAGAGGGUGUUAUGUAUGUUAUGGGGAGACGUAUGAGCAUCAGGCAUGAUUAUACUUUCUUUAUAAGUUGAUUUUUGUCUUCAUUAAUGCUUACACAUGAAUAUCUAAACCUUUCUUUGUUCUAGCAGAUUUGCAAACUAAAUUUUUUAAUUGCCUAUGUUCAUAAUUAUCGAUGAUUGAUAUUGUCAGAAAAGAAAGAAUACUGUGCUUGAGGUUAGUGUUGAUUUUUUUUUAUUUGAGUUGAAUUUCAAA
Long non-coding RNA from Helianthus annuus (common sunflower), 725 nucleotides. RefSeq lists it as uncharacterized. The transcript is spliced from 3 exons. The record is from RefSeq and is a predicted model, not a curated record. Lineage: Eukaryota; Viridiplantae; Streptophyta; Magnoliopsida; Asterales; Asteraceae.